UAACUCCUGAUAAUCACCCAGAGUUCAUCGAGCAAUGACAUACGUCCUAGAAAAUAUUAAAAAUCCUGAUGAGCUGGACCGAUGACGCUACAAAAAAUUGAUGCAUUUCUUUCUCUGUGGAGUCUUACGGUUUGGAAAUAACAUUUUGGAAUUAAUUUGUCGUUCGACAGUGGCAUCUGGUGAACGAGGGUGAUGAGGGAUGGGUUCUGGAAGGUUCUGAGGGGCAUGGCGAUUACGUCGAGUGAUUGGGCCCGAGUGGAGCGACAAUGACGCAACUGGGGCCUUCCGUCAGGGCCGCGUCCGUCACCCCCAUCGAGUUGAAAAAAACAAAUUUCUGGCCUCCUAAAUUAAACGUGGAAGGAGCUGCCAAGGUUGGGGUCGAUGGCCAGCUACAAAAGGCGUAAACAAGUAAACAACAUUUUUCAUUGGAAGUGGCUUUUGGAAAAAUUCCCAGAAGGUUCGCUCGAUGGAAAAACACUCGAUGAUAUUCCGAUUGAAUAUCGCUUUUCUACCUGCACCAUCCAACGGAAAAGACACAUCUCGUGAUUCAUCAAGGGCUAUGCACCGCUCUCCGUCAUUUUUCAUUUGGUUUUUCCCCAAAUUUUCUCUUUGAAAGCUUCCAGGAAAUCGGGAUGUCAUGGGCUAAGACAUUUCUGUUGGCACGUCACAGGUUUGGGACGCGUUGGAGUUCGUCGACGAGACAAUUUCAGAUCAUUUUAGUCAUCCUCACUUCCAAUUAGGAGAUGAUCAGUGGAAAAAUGAGAAAUGAAGGGAGGAGAGGUAUCUUCCGCAUUAAAAAACCAUUCUGGCCUGC
Molecule: long non-coding RNA, 814 nt
Organism: Fopius arisanus
Lineage: Eukaryota; Metazoa; Arthropoda; Insecta; Hymenoptera; Braconidae
Exons: 3
Source: RefSeq, a predicted model, not a curated record